RNAcentral lists this ribosomal RNA (381 nucleotides) under Triticum aestivum (bread wheat). Its description in RNAcentral is "partial small subunit ribosomal RNA". The record is from RNAcentral. Lineage: Eukaryota; Viridiplantae; Streptophyta; Magnoliopsida; Poales; Poaceae.
AUGGCUCCAAAAAACUCAGCUGUCUUCCUCCUUGGGCUUCUUCUCUCAUGCGUAGCCAUGAGUAGUGCGGCGAGAAUCCUUGAGGAGACAGAGCUUCCACCAUUCCUGGAAGUGCACCUACCACCUAAGCUUGAGCUUCCCAAGGUGGAGCUGCCGCCGGUCCAUGAGGUGCACCUACCACCCAAGCCGGAACUGCCUAAGGUGGAGUUGCCAACGUUCCCAGAGGUUUACCUGCCACCCAAGCCGGAGAUGCCCAAGGUAGAGCUGCCAACGUUCCCGGAGGUUCACCUGCCACCCAAGCCGGAGAUGUCCAAGGUGGAGCUGACGCGGAAGCCCGAGAUGCCCAAGUUCCACUUCCCAAAGCCGGAGGACAAGCCAUGA